Molecule: microRNA precursor, 57 nt
Organism: Bison bison bison
Lineage: Eukaryota; Metazoa; Chordata; Mammalia; Artiodactyla; Bovidae
Source: Ensembl
AUAAGUUCAUUUGGAUUUUUCCAUAAUAUGUGGUGGAAAAUCCAAAUGAACUUUUUU